This 497-nucleotide ribosomal RNA is filed under the name uncultured bacterium. RNAcentral's name for it is "partial 16S ribosomal RNA". It matches the Rfam family "Bacterial small subunit ribosomal RNA", at positions 28 to 507 of the family's 1533-position model. The record is from RNAcentral.
GACGAGCGCUGGCGGCGUGCCUAAUACAUGCAAGUUGAGCGCUGAAGGUUGGUACUUGUACCAACUGGAUGAGCAGCGAACGGGUGAGUAACGCGUGGGGAAUCUGCCUUUGAGCGGGGGACAACAUUUGGAAACGAAUGCUAAUACCGCAUAAAAACUUUAAACACAAGUUUUAAGUUUGAAAGAUGCAAUUGCAUCACUCAAAGAUGAUCCCGCGUUGUAUUAGCUAGUUGGUGAGGUAAAGGCUCACCAAGGCGAUGAUACAUAGCCGACCUGAGAGGGUGAUCGGCCACAUUGGGACUGAGACACGGCCCAAACUCCUACGGGAGGCAGCAGGAGGGAAUCUUCGGCAAUGGAGGAAAGUCUGACCGAGCAACGCCGCGGGAGUGAAGAAGGUUUUCGGAUCGUAAAACUCUGUUGGUAGAGAAGAACGUUGGUGAGAGUGGAAAGCUCAUCAAGUGACGGUAACUACCCAGAAAGGGACGGCUAACUACGUG